Eriocheir sinensis (Chinese mitten crab) is the source of this 1292-nucleotide long non-coding RNA. RefSeq lists it as uncharacterized. The transcript is spliced from 2 exons. The record is from RefSeq and is a predicted model, not a curated record. Lineage: Eukaryota; Metazoa; Arthropoda; Malacostraca; Decapoda; Varunidae.
GGCAUUUCAGUCGUGACCGACACAACAGACAUGACAGUCGUGACCGACACAACAGACAUGACAACAGUGACCAACGCAGCAGACAUGACAGCAGUGACCGACAAGUGAGCGAUUGGAUUCAGAAUCUGUCUAGUGAAGACCUUGAUGAUGUUCAACCCUUGAACCAAGGAGAAAACCAUCAGAGUGGAUUUCCUAUGGAUUGGGCAAAAUUCCAGAGGCGAGUCAUUCAUUUGUUGCUGGAUAUGAGGACCUCUUUGCAUACUCUUACUGGCUCUACACCAAGUGACAAUGAUAUAUCAAUUCAACAGCUGGACUCUAUGGAGGAUGCAGAGGGAUUUGAAAAUGAAUAGUGAACACCCUCUUUUAGCAAAGAAAUGACAGAAAAAUUUGUCCACAUAGCUGGAAUUUCAGUGAAGGAUAUGAUAUCAAAGGUAUUGUGCAGCAUUAUGUCGAAGGAGUUGAUGUGUAAGUACAACAUGUAUGGACAACGGGGCAAAGUAGCUUUUAAAAAUACAAGAUUGUGCAGUGUCAUCACAGACUGUUAUGAAGAAAUUCAGAGAUGUGAGUUUAACAGAAAUACAGAAGAUGAUUGCAACAAACUUGUGUAAUGCCCCAAAAAUGAAGUAAAGUGGAAACUAAAUCAUGUAGGGUAGCGGGCAAAUAGUGAUGCUGGGUCGGGAUACAAUAAAAUCAGGUAACUUCAGACAUUUUUUAGGGUUUUGGCCUAUAAAUUCUUGUAGAACUACACUAUUUGAAACCUGUCCUUACUGUGAAAACUGUUCUAUGAUCUGUCCAACAGUUUGGUUAGACUCAGGAAAACUGUUGAUACCCACAUUUUUAUUCCAGGUACGGUGUGCAAAAAAAUGUAGCAACAAGAUGUGUAUUCUCAAAGCAUGAACAGAAAUUUGUAUUAGUAAUUAAGAGCCACACCUGUAAUAUCAAGGCAUACUGUGUAGAACAGUCCUUGAGUUAAGGCUGAGGAGGUAAAACUAAAAUCUGAAAUCUGCCACAAAAUGGUUGUUGAUAAUGAAACUGGCUUUAUAAUGCUACCCAAGAGCUCAGCUGUAGUCAGAGUCAUGGUAAUUUUACUGCCUCCUGCCUCCUUUCACCCACUAUUGCUGUGACUUGACUGCAGGCCUGCCAUGAAUACCAGCAAAUUGUGAAAAUGAUGAUGUACAGUAUUGUAUUGUGGCUUUUCUUUCUCCUGAUGGAUAUUAAAUUUACAUAGUAUUAUAUUGUAUUGUGGCUUCUCUUUCUCCUGAUGGAUAUUAAAUUUACAUAGUAUUAUAUUG